GAUGAACGCUGGCGGCGUGCCUAAUACAUGCAAGUAGAGCGCUGAAGGAGGAGCUUGCUCUUCUGGAUGAGUUGCGAACGGGUGAGUAACGCGUAGGUAACCUGCCUGGUAGCGGGGGAUAACUAUUGGAAACGAUAGCUAAUACCGCAUGACAACAGUUAUUGCAUGAUAACUGUUUAAAAGGGGCAACUGCUCCACUACCAGAUGGACCUGCGUUGUAUUAGCUAGUUGGUGAGGUAACGGCUCACCAAGGCGACGAUACAUAGCCGACCUGAGAGGGUGAUCGGCCACACUGGGACUGAGACACGGCCCAGACUCCUACGGGAGGCAGCAGUAGGGAAUCUUCGGCAAUGGACGGAAGUCUGACCGAGCAACGCCGCGUGAGUGAAGAAGGUUUUCGGAUCGUAAAGCUCUGUUGUAAGAGAAGAACGAGUGUGAGAGUGGAAAGUUCACACUGUGACGGUAUCUUACCAGAAAGGGACGGCUAACUACGU
Molecule: ribosomal RNA, 494 nt
Filed under: uncultured bacterium
Lineage: Bacteria
Description: partial 16S ribosomal RNA
Rfam family: Bacterial small subunit ribosomal RNA
Source: RNAcentral